GAUGAACGCUAGCUACAGGCUUAACACAUGCAAGUCGAGGGGUAACAAGAGAAAAGCUUGCUUUUCUUGUUGACGACCGGCGCACGGGUGAGUAACGCGUAUCCAACCUGCCUAUAACUAGGGAAUAACCUUGCGAAAGUAAGACUAAUACCCUAUGAUUUCCUUUGAUGACAUCAGAUUAGGAAUAAAGAUUUAUCGGUUAUAGAUGGGGAUGCGUCUGAUUAGCUUGUUGGCGGGGGAACGGCCCACCAAGGCAACGAUCAGGAGGGGUUCUGAGAGGAAGGUCCCCCACAUUGGCACUGAGACACGGUCCAAACUACUACGGGAGGCAGCAGUGAGGAAUAUUGGUCAAUGGGCGGGAGCCUGAACCCGCCAAGUAGCGUGCAGGAUGACGGCCCUAUGGGUUGUAAACUGCUUUUAUACAGGAAUAAAGUUAGCCACGUGUUGUUAUUUGUAGGUACUGUAUGAAUAAGGACCGGCUAAUUCCGUGCCAGCCGCCGCCGUAA
This 506-nucleotide ribosomal RNA is filed under the name uncultured bacterium. Its description in RNAcentral is "partial 16S ribosomal RNA". It matches the Rfam family "Bacterial small subunit ribosomal RNA", at positions 28 to 523 of the family's 1533-position model. The record is from RNAcentral.